GGGUGAGGCAGGGAGAGGAAGGGGUCGGCCGCAGUUCUGGGGCUUCCUAGUCAGAAGCCCUCUGUAAGGCACUAACUUCCCUCUUCCCUCUGCAGAUUUUUUUUUUUUUUUGAGACGGAGUCCUACUCCACCCAGGCUGGAGUGCAGUGGCACAAUCUUGUCUCACCACAGUCUCUGCCUCCCAGUUCAAGUGAUUCUCCUGCCUCAGCCUCCCAAGUAGCUCGGAUUACAGGCAUGCACCACCAAGCCCAGCUAGUUUUUUUGGAUUUUUAGUAAAGACGGGGUGUCACCAUAUUGAUCAGGCUGGUUUCGAACUCCUGACCUCAGCUUCCAAUUGUGGACAAGAUAAGGACCAUUGCCCAGGCUGUCUAUGGAGCCAAAGAUAUCGAACUCUGUCCUGAGGCACAAGUCAAAAUAGAUCGUUACACUCAGCAGGGUUUUGGAAAUUUGCCCAUCUGCAUGGCAAAGACCGAUCUUUCUCUGUCUCACCAACCUGACAAAAAAGGUGUGCCAAGGGACUUCAUCUUACCUAUCAGUGAUGUCCGGGCCAGCAUAGGUGCUGGGUUCAUUUACCCUUUGGUCGGAACGCAAAACCCCACAAAAGUUUUCCACAGUUGCAGCCUCCAGUUCCUCUGCUCCCAUUCUCCUACAUCCAUGAAAAUUGGUGCUUGCCAAGAUCGCUGAAGGCCUCCACGCUGAAGGACUCCUCCGGUGAUCAACUCUGCCUUUACCAUAGUUAACACUGCAGCGGGAUCUGAACAGUGUUUCGCCUCCGUGUACAACUGGACUCCUGCGUGCCUGCAGGCUCACACUGCUUCUCCCUCUCCCUCCUAGGCACUGCUCAGGCCUCACGGCCGCAAUCGCCCCAUCUCGCCCAUGCCAGUCUUGCUCCUCCCAGUCACUCUGCACUCACUCCCCGGCCACCUCACAGAGUUAAGUGGCAUCUACAUGCUGAGGGCUGUACAUCUAAGUCCCUGGCCAGACCUGUCUCUCCAGACUUGACACUCCGCUUGUCUGCAUGAUACCCAGCCGAAACAAACAUCAUCUUCCCAAAACUGCAUCUGCAGACAGUUUCCUAUCUAACCUGCAACAACCCAUCCUUCCAGGAACUUCCAGUCGCCAUCCUCAUUUCCUCACACACCCCACAUUCAGUCCACCAGGAAAUCCUACUGACCCAGCUUCCAAAUAAACUCUAUCCGGGUUUGACUCUUUGUCUCAUCUCCACUGCCAGCCCUCUGGUUUGUGCCACCGGACUGAUCUCUACCGGACUGAUGUCUUGGCAGAGUGAUCUGAUUACCUGAAUGUCUCUCCUCUGCUCAAAACCCUCCAAGGACUCCCAUUUCAGAGUGAAACAUUCAGUCUCUUCCAAUGGCCCACAAGGCUCUAGGUAAUUUUAAAUUGUAAAUGGUGUGAAGCAGAAACUUCAGAGUUAGCCUAGUCAUGCCUUUCAAAGGUCAACACAGACUAGCAACCACUAAGCUAAUGCCUAAUCAGGAAACAGUCCUUUGACUAGAUGAAGAUCUAGGAUGAAACUCCGUUUCACAAAUCAUAUACCUAAUCUGUUCCAGCUUACACAGGCACUCCUGGUCUCACUAACAAGACGCAACUCAGAUGCUCACCAUCAACUGUACACACGUUUCUGUGUCUGUCUCCUUCAGAGUGAGAUCACCGCCUCCAGCAACCUGCUCAGCACCCCCAGGCAGGAGGGCCACACCAUCUCCCUUUAUCUCCGCAUCUGACCUUAUACUCCACAUGUCCUUCUGAACUCUGACCAGGAUGAGUUUUCAGAGCACUUCCCCUGGGAGCUCUGCUGUGUCCAUAAGCCACACGGGCCACUGAUCACCUGCCAUUCAAAUCAGGGAGCAGCGAUCGGAAUAGGCAGCAUUGGCUUGCACUGAAAUAAACACACUGUCUCAGAUCACUACAUUGUAAAAGUCUCAAAAGUAGAGACCAUGUCUCAGUCACUUCGGUUUCCUAAUUCUUGUUACAAAACAGGUAUGGAUCUUUUUCUGGUGAUCUUCUGACUGUAGAAACAAUGAGCUCACUGCAUGAAUAAAUACACUCACAUGCAUCUACCCAGGAGUCCAAAUGAAAGGCACAGAAGCAGGAUAGGAAGCAGGGACCCAAAGAAAGUCAGGGAUUCCUGCACUAUGUGAUAGUCUUGACAAGGGGCUGAGAGGAACUGAGGUUUCUCACCUGUGCUUCUUUCUGCAUUUCUCCUUUAAGAUCAUCAAAAUAUGUGCUUUCUCCUUCAUCAUAUUCUGCAUCAAACAUCUCCUUCAAUUUUCUCUUCUUAUCCAAAUGCUUUUUCUUGGCACUUUCUUCUUCGUCAGGGUCAAUUUCUUCCUUGUUUCUCUAUAUCUUCAUUCUUAAAUUUCCAGAAGAAAAAAUUUUGUGUAUGUUUAUGAAGGUCUUUUCUUUAAACAUUACAUUUUUUAAAGUUCUAUUUAAACAAAAAUCUUAGCAAAAAUCUGUUAUCAUUAUCAAUAAAACAAAACAAAACACAA
This is an RNA transcript of Homo sapiens (human), 2507 nucleotides long. It is a transcript of the gene named methylenetetrahydrofolate dehydrogenase (NADP+ dependent) 1 like pseudogene, with no coding region annotated. Lineage: Eukaryota; Metazoa; Chordata; Mammalia; Primates; Hominidae. The record is from RefSeq and is marked validated. The transcript has 4 exons.